This is a non-coding RNA of Chaetomium sp. MPI-CAGE-AT-0009, 72 nucleotides long. The record is from the annotation of a GenBank genome assembly. NCBI's taxonomy places the organism in Eukaryota, Fungi, Ascomycota, Sordariomycetes, Sordariales, Chaetomiaceae.
GGUGUGGUGGCAGAAUGGUUAAUGCGCGAGACUAACAAUCUCUUUACGUCUGUUCGAUUCAGGCCCACGCCG